GAUAAACGCUGGCGGCGCACAUAAGACAUGCAAGUCGAACGAACUUAACCCUUUGUUUACAUUGGGAGCGGUUAGUGGCGGACUGGUGAGUAACACGUAAGCAACCUGCCUAUUAGAGGGGAAUAACAGUGAGAAAUCAUUGCUAAUACCGCAUAUGCUCACAGUAUCACAUGAUACAGUGAGGAAAGGAGCAAUCCGCUAAUAGAUGGGCUUGCGUCUGAUUAGCUAGUUGGUGGGGUAACGGCCUACCAAGGCGACGAUCAGUAGCCGGACUGAGAGGUUGAACGGCCACAUUGGGACUGAGAUACGGCCCAGACUCCUACGGGAGGCAGCAGUCGGGAAUAUUGCGCAAUGGAGGAAACUCUGACGCAGUGACGCCGCGUAUAGGAAGAAGGUUUUCGGAUUGUAAACUAUUGUCGUUAGGGAAGAUAAAAGACAGUACCUAAGGAGGAAGCUCCGGCUAACUAUGUGCCAGCAGCCGCGGUAAUACAUAGGGAGCAAGCGUUAUCCGGAAUUAUUGGGUGUAAAGGGUGCGUAGACGGAGGAACAAGUUAGUUGUGAAAUCCCUCGGCUUAACUGAGGAACUGCAACUAAAACUAUUCCCCUUGAGUGUCGGAGAGGAAAGUGGAAUUCCUAGUGUAGCGGUGAAAUGCGUAGAUAUUAGGAGGAACACCAGUGGCGAAGGCGACUUUCUGGACGAUAACUGACGUUGAGGCACGAAAGUGUGGGGAGCAAACAGGAUUAGAUACCCUGGUAGUCCACACUGUAAACGAUGGAUACUAGGUGUAGGGUGUAUUAAGCACUCUGUGCCGCCGCAAACGCAUUAAGUAUCCCACCUGGGGAGUACGACCGCAAGGUUGAAACUCAAAGGAAUUGACGGGGGCCCGCACAAGCAGUGGAGUAUGUGGUUUAAUUCGAAGCAACGCGAAGAACCUUACCAGGGCUUGACAUAUACCGGAAUAUACUAGAGAUAGUAUAGUCCUUCGGGACUGGUAUACAGGUGGUGCAUGGUUGUCGUCAGCUCGUGUCGUGAGAUGUUGGGUUAAGUCCCGCAACGAGCGCAACCCCUAUCGUUAGUUGCUAGCAGGUAAAGCUGAGAACUCUAGCGAGACUGCCGGUGAUAAAUCGGAGGAAGGUGGGGAUGACGUCAAAUCAUCAUGCCCUUUAUGUCCUGGGCUACACACGUACUACAAUGGCCGCAACAGAGGGAAGCGAAAUAGUGAUAUGGAGCAAAACCCGAAAAACGGUCUCAGUUCGGAUUGAAGGCUGAAAUUCGCCUUCAUGAAGCUGGAAUUGCUAGUAAUGGCAGGUCAGCAUACUGCCGUGAAUACGUUCCCGGGCCUUGUACACACCGCCCGUCACACCAUGAGAGUUGGAAAUACCCGAAGCCUGUGAGCUAACUAUAUGAGGCAGCAGUCGAAGGUAGAGCCAAUGAUUGGGGUGAAGUCGUAACAAGGUAGCCGUAUCGGAAGGUGCGGCUGGAUCACCUCCUUUCUAAGGAGAAAUAACUCUUAAAGAAUUUAUUGUUUAUUUUUCAAUGUGCUUUUACUUAAGUACAUUAAAAAAUAGAGUAAGGCUCAUACAAAUGACGAACUAAAAACACGACUCUAAAAUAUGGGCUCAUAGCUCAGAUGGUUAGAGCGCACGCCUGAUAAGCGUGAGGUCGAUGGUUCGAUUCCAUUUGAGCCCACCAAAGAUAUUUAAUAAAAGAAGUAUUUUAAAUAAAUACUUUUUUAUAUGUAAAUAUCUAAACAGUACAUUGAAAAAUAUAUAGAUAAAUGCGAAAAAAAAAGAUAGGUAAAACUAGCAUGCUAGAAAUAGUAUGUAAAAACAAUUAAACCGAAACAAAGAAAUUUGUAAAUUUUAAUUAACCGUAAAAGGUAAAUUGAGUAGAUGUAAGUUAUAUAAACAUAACAAAACAUAUAUUUAAUUUAUAGGUUAAGCUACUAAGAGCAUAGGGUGAAUGCCUAGGCACCAAGAGCCGAAGAAAGACGUGAUAAGCUGCGAAAAGCUACGGGGAGAAGCAAAUAUUCCGUGAUCCGUAGAUGUCUGAAUGGGGAAACCCAAUUGGUAAAAAAAGACCAAUUACCCAUAUAUAAGUAAAGUAGUAUAUGAGGAGGGAACGUAGGGAACUGAAACAUCUUAGUACCUACAGGAAAAGAAAGAAAAAUUCGAUUCCUUGAGUAGUGGCGAGCGAAAGAGGAAGAGCCUAAACUGAAAGUAGUAAUACAUUCAGGGUAAGGACUGCAUAAUCGAUCUAACAAGUCUAAUAGAAUUAUUUGGAAAAGUAAACCAUAGAUAGUGAAAGUCUAGUAUAUGAAAGAUAAGUUAGCGAGGCAGUAUCCAGAGUAGUGCAAGACACGAGAAAUCUUGUAUGAAGAAGCGGGGACCAUCCCGUAAGGCUAAAUACUACUUGGUGACCGAUAGUGGAGA
RNAcentral lists this unclassified non-coding RNA (2433 nucleotides) under uncultured Pseudoclostridium sp. RNAcentral describes it as "partial contains 16S ribosomal RNA, 16S-23S ribosomal RNA intergenic spacer, and 23S ribosomal RNA". The stretch from base 1 to 1494 matches the Rfam family "Bacterial small subunit ribosomal RNA". The record is from RNAcentral. Lineage: Bacteria; Bacillati; Bacillota; Clostridia; Eubacteriales; Oscillospiraceae.